GCUUUAUAGCCCAGAAAGUUACACAAAGGGGGGUUACAGAUAACAGAACUCUGACAAGCAUCACAUUAAUGGUAGUUUACAUUUUUUUGCUGGCCCCAACAUCAGAAUUUAUGAGGACCAUUAGAGCCUUAGAGAGCGUCGUUGUCUGGCCAGGGAAGGCCAAUAUUUAUGAGGUGUCACUAAGUUUCAGAGAGAGCUGCUAUCUGGUCAGAGAGCCAGGCAUGGGUGAGUUCAAGGCACGGGCAGGCAUUCCAAGCAGGUUCAGAAUUUGUAGUAAUUUAUAGUAAAGCUGAAAUUAUCUUUUCAUGGUUUUGUGGCGAGAUGCCCAAUUUUAAGAAAAGAUCAGGUUGGGUCUAUCAAGGCUAGCCUCAGCAAUUUAGCGAAGCCCUAAGAAAUUUAAUGAGACCUGUCUCAAAAAAAGAAAAAAAUGGCUAGGGAAUAUAGCUCAGUGGUAAAACACCUGGGGUAAAAUCCCCAGUACAAAAAGGAAAAAAACAAAAAACCUGAAAAAAAACCCCAAAACAGAUUCUAAUAGUGAAAAGGGGAAACCGGACAUUGGGAGACGCAGGUAAACUUGUGCUGACUUCUGCUGUGUUGGCCUCCUUUUCUCAACUGCAAGCGGCUUUCUCUGUAGUUUGUUUUUUUUUUUUUUUUUGGUGGGGCUGGGGAUUGAACCCAGGGUCUUGCGCAUGCGCGGCAAGCGCUCUACCAGCCUCUGAGCUAUAUCCCCAGCCCCUCUCUGUGCAUUUGAGGACUUAACAACUAUCAGCUCCAGACUCGCAUCCUGAAUGAAAGGUUCCCCUACCUCCCAGUUUUAGUUUGGCAGAUCCUUCUUGGAUUGAUCACUGUGGCCAGUGGUGUUUGGCUCUAUGAUGAGCCCAAUCUGGGUCACGAGCUUUCCUCUAUGCCCCCUGCCAGGUGGGGAAGAAAGGCAGACUCCAUUACCCAAGCGAGGUUCUCAGAAGACAAAACCAACAUCUACUACAGACAGUAAAUGAGUCUAUGAUUAUGUACUGGUAUCAUUUGAAAGUGUGUUAAUGUCCUGAGUGUGUAUCCUAGGAAAGGCCAGCUGGACUCUGUCUCCAUGGUGGCUCUGCCCCCAGGGACAGUCUGUCACCAGAUAAUUACUUUUAUAACCCCCAAGAAGAAAAUCUCUUUGUCCUUGAAGUAGUCCCAGAAAGGAGGCAGAUGGGAAAGACCUGACUGGGAGCCUCUCCAGUUGGCAGUUGGCUUGGGGCAGAGAGGGAUUUGUUGGCUCUCGGAGCUUCGAAGGCCAGGAAUGGAUCAGGCUCCCGGUUAGAUCCCAGGACUCCAAAUGGGGUCAUGGGAUCCAUCUCUCUUCCGCUCUCACCUCUGCUCUUCUUUGAGUUGGCACUAUUUUCAAGCUCCAUGGUGUGACCCCACAGCUCUCCUUAUUGAUAGAAAGGGCUUCCCUUUGCUGGGGAAAACCAACCAACCAAUCUGGAUUUGGUUCUUGGUUCAGACUGGACAGUAUUCAGACUCAAGUCAUCACUGUGGCCAGGAAGUUCAAAUACACUGACUUCUGCCAGCCAUGUACCUGCAUGGGCUGAGAGUUGGCACCCGGUGGUGGGGGGUGAUAUCAGAGGAGGGUGGGAGGACAGGCCAGGAAGAAUGAUCAGGGGCCAUCCAGUCCUCUUCCUUUUUCUGUGGUCUUCAUUUCUCUGCCUGCUUACCUUCACCACCUACCCCAUCUCUCUUCACUGUCUUGCAGGUACCUUCAGAGGGUACUCCUGAAGGGGCAUCUGGGCCUCAAUUAAGGAGCAGAGGGAAAUAUUGCUUGGUCAAAGAGGGGUGUUCAACAAAAAGCCAUUUAGUGCACAGUCGUCUUCCAGAACUGCUUUCCUAUGGACCCCAUUACAGCCCAGCAGGGCCCCUGUCAUGGUCUGAGGUAGAAUUCUAGUUACGUUCUUGUCCCAGCCCACACUGGCUCCUGAGGAAUGAGACUUGAGCCUGUGGGUUAUUCAGCACAUUUUUGGCGGGAUGAUUGCCCGGAUGUAGCCCCACUUCUGCCCCAGGUUAGUCUCACAUGCCAGAUCCUUGGUACAGGGCACAGGGUUGAAUGCUGAACCUGUGAGGGUCCUGCUGACUGGUUCUGUUUUAUGUGGGCAGUGCACAGCCAUUGUGGUUGGUUGGAAUGGGUGGUGGCUUCUGAAUUAGUCACUUCUGUAUCCAUCAAUUCACUUAGGACCUGAGGCCACAGUUUCUUUCUUUGUCAUUGACCCAUCUGGGUGAUAGCAGACUUGAAAUUAAUCAGACUUGAAUUAAUGAGAUAGUGUAUCUAUUUAACACACCCUCAGAAGUUUCUUACUAUAAAGAAGAGUUCUGGUGACUGGGGAGGCCUUUUCAAUAUCCUGAUCCGGCAGGUGACAGCCCUGAGGGUUGUCUGUCAGUUGUGUUCUGUCUGGCCUUGGCCACUCUCUAGAACAAAUUGGUAUCAAGCCCAUCUGGAUGGUUGCAGCAGGUACACAGAUCCAGCUGGUGAUCUCUUGGGGUAACUUCUGUGAGCUGCAAGGCCCUUGAAAUGGUACAGGCAGUGUUGGGACAGUGUGUUCAAAGGCGUGGCUCAGCAAAAUGUCCUGCCAGCUUGGACAAAUGCUGUCCCAGCCGGAACCCUCAGAAACCUUCAGAACGGCAUGUGCUUUUUGUAGCAUGUGUGCUUGCUGCCUCUUCACAGUGGGGAUGCGGGACCUGACAUCCUGCGACAUAGAGAAGAAAGUGUCAUUUGCCAAAUACUUGACUGAGCCACCCCUGAGUGCUUGGUACUGCUCUAGGUCCUGGGAAUACAGCAGAGAAUCAGAUGGAGCCAGUCCCCACCCACAGGAUUUUUUUUUUUUUUUAAUAAAUAUUUACUUUUUAGUGGUAGUUGGACACAAUACCUUGA
This 2902-nucleotide long non-coding RNA is filed under the name Marmota monax (woodchuck). Lineage: Eukaryota; Metazoa; Chordata; Mammalia; Rodentia; Sciuridae. The record is from RNAcentral.